RNAcentral lists this long non-coding RNA (331 nucleotides) under Capra hircus (goat). RNAcentral's name for it is "lncRNA (ENSCHIG00000001468.1)". Lineage: Eukaryota; Metazoa; Chordata; Mammalia; Artiodactyla; Bovidae. The record is from RNAcentral.
AAGCAGACAUCUGUUCUCUUCACCAGGACCCUCAAAGACUCGUCAGACUGGACCACGGCCUCUGGAGUACUUCCCAGGAAGCUUCUUGCUUGGAAGAUUCGCAGUUUCUUCCCAAGCAUCGCUCUCAACUUGGCUAAACACCUUGAAACAGUUCCAGCAAGACGUGUCUCCCUCAGAUCUCAGGGCAGAUGGAGUUGGAAGUCAUCAGGAUGGAGGACAGAACUGAAGGAGGUCUUUAUUGUCCAGAGAUUUAUAGUAGAAAGAUCAUUUAAAUAACUUUGUACAGAGCAACACUACAUACCUGUAAAUAGUGGAAAAACUUAAAAGGAAA